RNAcentral lists this ribosomal RNA (414 nucleotides) under Triticum aestivum (bread wheat). RNAcentral's name for it is "partial small subunit ribosomal RNA". The record is from RNAcentral. Lineage: Eukaryota; Viridiplantae; Streptophyta; Magnoliopsida; Poales; Poaceae.
AUGUUCAUUACCCUUGGAGUGCGCCCCAGAUCGGAGAUCGCCAGAGGAGGAAGACGGCGGCUAGUGUUCCUCCACGUCGCUUCUCCUUCCUCAAGCCAAGAUGGAGAGAAAUCUGCUGCUAGCGACGCAGAAUCUGAAGUUCCGAAGGCCAUGCCAGACUUCUGUCCUUCCAACUCCGUGACUGGGAAGGGGUGGCUUGGGUUACAAGAUCAUGCCGCAACUGAACUGCAUGACCAAGAUAUGCCUAUCAUAACAGGAGCAACUAUUCUAUCAAGCUCAAUGAAUGUAGCACCACGCAAAAGUGAUCGAAGCAGGCCAAUGAACGCAAGAGCAAAGCUAGGUUAUGAGAAUGUCAGCAAGCCAAGAUCAAAGUUUUGUUCUUUUUGCAGAGGUAAGGGCCAUACAACAUUCUGA